CAGCGAGGAGCAAACUGGUCCAGCAGGGAAGUACGGGCAUUAUUAGAGUUUAAGAGAGAGGUUUUUGAGAUAACUCUAGUCAGCAGCUGCCCAGAUUUGCCUUCAUAUGCACCUGUUCCUGAUGCUGGCCUAAAAAAGGAAGUGUUCUCUAGUGUAGAUGUCUAUGAUACAAAUAGUUUAAGAUGUACUCUCAAUAUAUAUUCUGAGAAAAUUAGUGUCAAGCAGAAUUUAAGUUCAGGUCAGCCUUAUGCUAUACCUAACGCUGUUUGCAGAAAUGACAAGUACUGUUAAUAGUUUGUAAUCUCAGCAGUCCUGUCCAACCUUAAAUGAAUUUUCACUAGGAUGCAUGUGUGGAAGUGUAAUGUAUCUUAAGAGUGAUGUACAAUCUAAGAUUGCAUAUUUUUGUGGUGCACAACUUGUGAACCAAAUAUUGAAACUUGCACUGGUUUUUCGUUGUUGUUGUUGUUGUUUUGGGAUGAGCAGACAUUUAGAGUUGCAUGCUGGAAUUAAUAAAGUUGAUCAUUCAUUUUCAUUGUAUUUUCUGCCUGUUCCUUAACCGAGAAUGUCUAAUGCUGAUAUACUUUACUCUUCUUCAGAAUUUUGCUUCAAAGUGAGUGGAAGCCUCAAACAUUUAUUCCAAAGAGUUGCACAUGUAAAAUAUUGUUCAAGAAGAAUAUAAGAUUUUAAUAGCCAAGUGACAGCAUUAAGAACAUGUCUUAGUGAUGACCGCUACUCUUGACAAACACUUGCAGAGGCCACCACAUGCACUACUGUCUGCAAGCCUAUUUUCCCUUGUAAUAAUUUCAUAAAGGAAAACUCAUACAUUUUUUUAAAAAGUCCUGUCCAAGAAGAACUGCAUCUUUCAUUUCAAGAGAUCUGUAUGAAUGAACAGCUACUAAGUUUCAUAAGAAUGAAAAUUUAACUAUUUCUACAGUCACAUAGUUCUGAUAUUGUGAACUCUACAGAAAAGUAUAAAAUUAUGAUAUAUUCACAAUAAAAAUCUACUUAUAAACUGGAUACUAGCAGCUUGACCUGCUGUAACACAUGUUGGGCCUACAUCUAAACUGUUGACUAUGUCUAUUGUUGAUGUUCUAACUUCGUUAUCAAAAUAGUUCUGAAAUGUAUAAAAUUAUGGUUUAACAUAUUUACAAGAAAAGUCUAUAAACAGAUUGGUUCUGACAGCUUGGCCUGCUGCAACAUGGGCUCUUUCUGUGGGAGCAUCAUGUUCUGAAACAGUGUCAUUGAUUUUAUUGUAGUGAUUUUCAUUAUUUAAAUCAUUGUUAUGUCCAACAUCAUUAUUGUCGCCAUCAUUGUCUGGCUCUCCCCGAUUGAGAACACAGUCACUUCACAUGCCUGAUCUGGUUCCAUCUUCAGACCCUAGAGACAA
Molecule: long non-coding RNA, 1387 nt
Organism: Pomacea canaliculata
Lineage: Eukaryota; Metazoa; Mollusca; Gastropoda; Architaenioglossa; Ampullariidae
Exons: 3
Source: RefSeq, a predicted model, not a curated record